RNAcentral lists this ribosomal RNA (253 nucleotides) under uncultured bacterium. RNAcentral describes it as "partial 16S ribosomal RNA". It matches the Rfam family "Bacterial small subunit ribosomal RNA", at positions 524 to 776 of the family's 1533-position model. The record is from RNAcentral.
UACGGAGGGUGCAAACGUUGCUCGGAAUUAUUGGGCGUAAAGCGCACGUAGGCGGUCGACUACGUCCGGUGUGAAAGCCUCGGGCUCAACCCGAGAAGUGCACAGGAAACGGGGCGACUGGAGUACGGAAGAGGGUCUCGGAAUUCCCGGUGUAGAGGUGAAAUUCGUAGAUAUCGGGAGGAACACCAGUGGCGAAGGCGGAGACCUGGGCCGAUACUGACGCUGAGGUGCGAAAGCGUGGGGAGCAAACAGG